GCCUCUGUAGCUCAGUUGGUUAGAGCGCUGCACCGGAAUCGCAGGGUCGUAGGUUCAAUUUCUACCAGAUGAC
This 73-nucleotide transfer RNA is filed under the name Paramuricea clavata. It matches the Rfam family "tRNA". Rfam says of the family: Transfer RNA (tRNA) molecules are approximately 80 nucleotides in length. Their secondary structure includes four short double-helical elements and three loops (D, anti-codon, and T loops). Further hydrogen bonds mediate the characteristic L-shaped molecular structure. tRNAs have two regions of fundamental functional importance: the anti-codon, which is responsible for specific mRNA codon recognition, and the 3' end, to which the tRNAs corresponding amino acid is attached (by aminoacyl-tRNA synthetases). tRNAs cope with the degeneracy of the genetic code in two manners: having more than one tRNA (with a specific anti-codon) for a particular amino acid; and 'wobble' base-pairing, i.e. permitting non-standard base-pairing at the 3rd anti-codon position. Lineage: Eukaryota; Metazoa; Cnidaria; Anthozoa; Malacalcyonacea; Plexauridae. The record is from Rfam by way of RNAcentral.